GAUGAAGAACGUAGCGAAAUGCGAUAAGUAAUGUGAAUUGCAGAAUUCAGUGAAUCAUCGAAUCUUUGAACGCACAUUGCGCCCCUUGGUAUUCCGAGGGGCAUGCCUGUUCGAGCGUCAUUAUAACCCCUCAAGCUCAGCUUGGUGUUGGGGCCUGCUGCACUGGCAGCCCUUAAAAUCAGUGGCGGCGCCAUCUGGCUCUAAGCGUAGUAAUUCUUCUCGCUAUAGAGUCCUGGUGGAUGCUUGCCAUCAACCCCCAAUUUUUCUAUGGUUGACCUCGGAUCAGGUAGGGAUACCCGCUGAACUUAAGCAUAUCAAUAAGCGGAGGA
This 329-nucleotide unclassified non-coding RNA is filed under the name soil metagenome. RNAcentral's name for it is "partial contains 5.8S ribosomal RNA, internal transcribed spacer 2, and large subunit ribosomal RNA". The stretch from base 1 to 120 matches the Rfam family "5.8S ribosomal RNA", at positions 35 to 154 of the family's 154-position model. The record is from RNAcentral.